ACUCUCCAAACGACUAUGGCUUGCAAUCAAACGUCCAAUAUGAACUCUGGAUUUCGUUGAGGAGAGGAGUGCCAUUUACCUCCUUAUUAUGAUCUCAAAUCCUGAUGCAUAAUCCCUCGAUGAGCGAAUUUGCUCUCCAUUAGGAGGCUAUCAAUCUAACCUGCCAACUUAAUGGGUUGGAUUAGCUCCUCACCAUAAUUGGCCCUUAACAUGCUCUAUGAUGGAGAAAUGUAUUGCUCCCACAUUGAGUAGUUGAUCGAAUUUCUCGUAGGCUAAUUAAUUGCAAAACACCAAGGAUGGGGCUAUUUUAAAUUCUAGAUUUCUUGCUUGGAGGAUGCUGCAUUAAUCCAGAUGCCUGGCCUAGGUCCAAGAUGAAGUUGAGAAGUUAGACAAAAAAUAAUAGAUAAAUGAAAAAUAGGAUAAAAUUAGUUCUACUAGGCUCGUAUUAUGUGUAUAAAAAUUCGUUCUACCGCAUGAUAGGAGGAGAUUAAUACAAUUCUCAUAAUUAGGUAGCUAAAUAUUGAUUUGCCAAGCCAAUUUAAAUGGGUCCAAAGAACUUCUUAUGUACUCGAGUAGGAUACCAUUUUGCACAAAAUAAACAAGUUACAUAUCCCUUCAUAAUUGUCAAAUUAGUGAAAUAAAGGCUAGAUUUUAUAUAAAACUAAUUUAACUAUAGUGGAUUAAUUUUUGAUAAAUCAAAAUAUUAUAUAAAUGAUGAUAAACCUAAAAAGUACAUGUACUCGGAAUC
RNAcentral lists this long non-coding RNA (748 nucleotides) under Phoenix dactylifera (date palm). RNAcentral describes it as "long non-coding RNA (PDAC_LNC001134)". Lineage: Eukaryota; Viridiplantae; Streptophyta; Magnoliopsida; Arecales; Arecaceae. The record is from RNAcentral.